AGGACGAACGCUGGCGGUGUGCUUCACACAUGCAAGUCGAACGGGGUAGCAAUACCCAGUGGCGGACGGGUGAGUAACGCGUAGAAAUCUGCCUUGAGAUGGGGGAUAACAGUCCGAAAGGAUUGCUAAUACCGCAUAUGUAUACAUUCGGACACGGGGUGUAUAUGAAAGGAGUAAUCCGUCUUAAGAUGAGUCUGCGUCCGAUUAGCUAGUUGGUAGGGUAAAGGCCUACCAAGGCGACGAUCGGUAGCUGGUCUGAGAGGAUGAUCAGCCACAAUGGGACUGAGACACGGCCCAUACUCCUACGGGAGGCAGCAGUGGGGAAUUUUGUGCAAUGGGGGAAACCCUGACACAGCGACACCGCGUGAACGAAGAAGCCCUUUGGGUGUAAAGUUCUGUCGGCUGGAACGAAAAAUGACGGUACCAGCAAAGGAGACAUCGGCUAACUACGUGCCAGCAGCCGC
RNAcentral lists this ribosomal RNA (464 nucleotides) under uncultured bacterium. RNAcentral describes it as "SSU rRNA". It matches the Rfam family "Bacterial small subunit ribosomal RNA", at positions 26 to 518 of the family's 1533-position model. The record is from RNAcentral.